This 241-nucleotide long non-coding RNA is filed under the name Zonotrichia albicollis (white-throated sparrow). Its description in RNAcentral is "lncRNA (ENSZALG00000004102.1)". Lineage: Eukaryota; Metazoa; Chordata; Aves; Passeriformes; Passerellidae. The record is from RNAcentral.
UGAAAACCAGAGCUGAGGAAUUUCAGCUUCUUCCUCGAUCAUGGGGCUGGGAAAAAAGGCUCUUUAUACCUCGGGAGCCAUUCCAGCAACACAAAACCCGAGACCAACAACCCUCAGGAAUCUGCAUUUCCAGCCCUGCCAAAGGGAAGAGAGACAAGGCAAAUUGGAUUGGCAUUGCAUCCUGCACAGCAGAACUUGAGAAAAAAAUUGAAAGCUUUACUGGGAGAAAGUUUUAAGGAGU